Molecule: ribosomal RNA, 492 nt
Filed under: uncultured bacterium
Lineage: Bacteria
Description: partial 16S ribosomal RNA
Rfam family: Bacterial small subunit ribosomal RNA
Source: RNAcentral
AGUGAACGCUGGCGGUAGGCCUAACACAUGCAAGUCGAACGGCAGCACAGUAAGAGCUUGCUCUUACGGGUGGCGAGUGGCGGACGGGUGAGGAAUACAUCGGAAUCUACUUUUUCGUGGGGGAUAACGUAGGGAAACUUACGCUAAUACCGCAUACGACCUACGGGUGAAAGCAGGGGAUCUUCGGACCUUGCGCGAUUGAAUGAGCCGAUGUCGGAUUAGCUAGUUGGCGGGGUAAAGGCCCACCAAGGCGACGAUCCGUAGCUGGUCUGAGAGGAUGAUCAGCCAAAAUGGAACUGAGACACGGUCCAGACUCCUACGGGAGGCAGCAGUGGGGAAUAUUGGACAAAGGGCGCAAGCCUGAUCCAGCCAUACCGCGUGGGUGAAGAAGGCCUUCGGGUUGUAAAGCCCUUUUGUUGGGAAAGAAAAGCAGCAGGUUAAUACCCCGCUGUUCUGACGGUACCCAAAGAAUAAGCACCGGCUAACUUCGUG